Molecule: ribosomal RNA, 533 nt
Filed under: uncultured Strombidium
Lineage: Eukaryota; Ciliophora; Spirotrichea; Strombidiidae
Description: partial large subunit ribosomal RNA
Rfam family: Eukaryotic large subunit ribosomal RNA
Source: RNAcentral
UCUCUGUUUUACAGCGAAUUGUAAUCUUGCGUAGUCAUGCUCACCGGGAUACGGCGCACAAGUGACUUCGAACAGUCCGCCAAAGAGGGUGACAGCCCCGUACUGUGCCUUAUCCUAACGAGCAGGCUUACUAAGAGUCGGGUUGUUUGGUAUUGCAGCCCUAAGCGGGAGAUAAACUUCUUCUAAGGCUAAAUAUAUGUGGGAAACCGAUAGCGAACAAGUACUGUGAAGGAAAGAUGAAAAGCACUUUGGAAAGAGAGUCAAAAGACCUGAAACCGUUGAGAAGGAAGCGGUAGAGAUGAAUUCUACAAUGAGCACUGGGGAGUAGAUCUAACCUUUACUAAGGGGAAAUCUAUGACUUGUGCAAAGUUGUGAGGCCGGAUGGGAUGAUAUGAUCUUAAAAAUUGAGUAAGUCUGAUUGCUUUCGGGUAAUAACUUAUUUAAAAAAAGAUUGUAUGGUCUGAGGGAGCUUAGUGCGAUCCGGUCAAAAUGGUCUUUACUGACUCGUCUUGAAACACGAACCAAGGAGUCUA